RNAcentral lists this ribosomal RNA (478 nucleotides) under uncultured bacterium. RNAcentral describes it as "partial 16S ribosomal RNA". It matches the Rfam family "Bacterial small subunit ribosomal RNA", at positions 28 to 523 of the family's 1533-position model. The record is from RNAcentral.
GACGAACGCUGGCGGCGUGCUUAACACAUGCAAGUCGAACGGUAAGGCCCUUCGGGGUACACGAGUGGCGAACGGGUGAGUAACACGUGGGUGAUCUGCCCUGCACUUCGGGAUAAGACUGGGAAACUGGGUCUAAUACCGGAUCGGACUCCUGGCUUCAUGGUUGGGGGUGGAAAGCUUUUGCGGUGUGGGAUGGGCCCGCGGCCUAUCAGCUUGUUGGUGGGGUAAUGGCCUACCAAGGCGACGACGGGUAGCCGGCCUGAGAGGGUGACCGGUCACACUGGGACUGAGAUACGGCCCAGACUCCUACGGGAGGCAGCAGUGGGGAAUAUUGCACAAUGGGCGCAGGCCUGAUGCAGCGACGCCGCAUGAGGGAUGACGGCCUUCGGGUUGUAAACCUCUUUCAGCUAUGACGAAGCGCAAGUGACGGUAGUAGCAGAAGAAGGACCGGCCAACUACGUGCCAGCCGCCGCCGUAA